GAGCAAGCGCGCGAGUUUGUGAACGCACAACAACAACAACAAUAUCAGACAACAAACACAGCCAGUUGGAGCUUCUUUUAUUUUUCCUCAUUUGAUGGUGCUCGGCCGAUCUUCGUCAUCGCUACAACGUGAUCGUCAUCGACAUCGCCAUCGUCGUGGCAGCGAAGCUGAGCAGCGUUGUCAAGCGAUCGUUGCGAGUUUAGUUCUUUUUCAGUGUUCGUAUUGAUCGGGUCGACGAACGCGGAUCCGGCAGUACAACUCCGCUUAACGUCUGUGUGAACGGGCUGUGCGCUAAGUCUCCAACGGCAGCGCCAAACUACUUGGAGCCGAGCGCUGAGGAUCGGAAAGAAUUCUGUGUAUGUGUGUGCCUCAACCUUCAAUUACAAGUGCGAAGUAAAAUAAAA
Non-coding RNA from Bactrocera oleae (olive fruit fly), 404 nucleotides. Lineage: Eukaryota; Metazoa; Arthropoda; Insecta; Diptera; Tephritidae. The record is from RefSeq and is a predicted model, not a curated record.